ACAGACUACAGGCUAAGAUCUAGCCACAAUCAACUGCAGUAUCUUUUCUUACCAGUUUAAUAUUUGAUAUGUCUUCUGCUUGAGGACUUCACAUUCUAUUGAUUUUAUACUAAAUUGAUUUAAAUGGACUUUCUGUUACACUGGGAAAUGGACUAGAAGCUUUGUUUUAUCCACCUCAC
Small nuclear RNA from Buteo japonicus, 179 nucleotides. Its record names the gene U2. It matches the Rfam family "U2 spliceosomal RNA". Rfam says of the family: U2 is a small nuclear RNA (snRNA) component of the spliceosome (involved in pre-mRNA splicing). Complementary binding between U2 snRNA (in an area lying towards the 5' end but 3' to hairpin I) and the branchpoint sequence (BPS) of the intron results the bulging out of an unpaired adenosine, on the BPS, which initiates a nucleophilic attack at the intronic 5' splice site, thus starting the first of two transesterification reactions that mediate splicing. NCBI's taxonomy places the organism in Eukaryota, Metazoa, Chordata, Aves, Accipitriformes, Accipitridae. The record is from Ensembl.